This 1346-nucleotide ribosomal RNA is filed under the name uncultured bacterium. RNAcentral describes it as "partial 16S ribosomal RNA". It matches the Rfam family "Bacterial small subunit ribosomal RNA", at positions 28 to 1381 of the family's 1533-position model. The record is from RNAcentral.
GACGAACGCUGGCGGCGUGCUUAACACAUGCAAGUCGAACGGAAAGGCCCUGCUUUUGUGGGGUGCUCGAGUGGCGAACGGGUGAGUAACACGUGAGUAACCUGCCCUUGACUUUGGGAUAACCUCAGGAAACUGGGGCUAAUACCGGAUAGGAGCUCCUGCUGCAUGGUGGGGGUUGGAAAGUUUCGGCGGUUGGGGAUGGACUCGCGGCUUAUCAGCUUGUUGGUGGGGUAGUGGCUUACCAAGGCCUUGACGGGUAGCCGGCCUGAGAGGGUGACCGGCCACAUUGGGACUGAGAUACGGCCCAGACUCCUACGGGAGGCAGCAGUGGGGAAUAUUGCACAAUGGGCGGAAGCCUGAUGCAGCAACGCCGCGUGCGGGAUGACGGCCUUCGGGUUGUAAACCGCUUUCGCCUGUGACGAAGCGUGAGUGACGGUAAUGGGUAAAGAAGCACCGGCUAACUACGUGCCAGCAGCCGCGGUGAUACGUAGGGUGCGAGCGUUGUCCGGAUUUAUUGGGCGUAAAGGGCUCGUAGGUGGUUGAUCGCGUCGGAAGUGUAAUCUUGGGGCUUAACCCUGAGCGUGCUUUCGAUACGGGUUGACUUGAGGAAGGUAGGGGAGAAUGGAAUUCCUGGUGGAGCGGUGGAAUGCGCAGAUAUCAGGAGGAACACCAGUGGCGAAGGCGGUUCUCUGGGCCUUUCCUGACGCUGAGGAGCGAAAGCGUGGGGAGCGAACAGGCUUAGAUACCCUGGUAGUCCACGCUGUAAACGGUGGGUACUAGGUGUGGGGUCCAUUCCACGGGUUCCGUGCCGUAGCUAACGCUUUAAGUACCCCGCCUGGGGAGUACGGCCGCAAGGCUAAAACUCAAAGGAAUUGACGGGGCCCCGCACAAGCGGCGGAGCAUGCGGAUUAAUUCGAUGCAACGCGUAGAACCUUACCUGGGUUUGACAUGGAUCGGGAGUGCUCAGAGAUGGGUGUGCCUCUUUUGGGGUCGGUUCACAGGUGGUGCAUGGCUGUCGUCAGCUCGUGUCGUGAGAUGUUGGGUUAAGUCCCGCAACGAGCGCAACCCUUGUUCACUGUUGCCAGCACGUUAUGGUGGGGACUCAGUGGAGACCGCCGGGGUCAACUCGGAGGAAGGUGGGGAUGACGUCAAGUCAUCAUGCCCCUUAUGUCCAGGGCUUCACGCAUGCUACAAUGGCUGGUACAGAGAGUGGCGAGCCUGUGAGGGUGAGCGAAUCUCGGAAAGCCGGUCUCAGUUCGGAUUGGGGUCUGCAACUCGACCUCAUGAAGUCGGAGUCGCUAGUAAUCGCAGAUCAGCAACGCUGCGGUGAAUACGUUCCCGGGGCU